RNA transcript from Epinephelus moara (kelp grouper), 2695 nucleotides. It is a transcript of the gene named motile sperm domain-containing protein 1-like, with no coding region annotated. The transcript has 6 exons. Lineage: Eukaryota; Metazoa; Chordata; Actinopteri; Perciformes; Serranidae. The record is from RefSeq and is a predicted model, not a curated record.
GAAGGGAGGAAGGAGUUAGAGAAGGAAGGAGGGAGGUGGAGAAGGAAACAAGGAGGAAGAGAAGAAAACAAGGUGUCUGGGAAGUAAAGGAAAGAAGGAGGUGGAAACGUAAAGGAAAGAAGGAGGUGGAAAAGGAUACAAGUAGGUAGAGAAGGAAAAAAGGAUUUAGAGAAGGAGAGGAGGAGGUGGAGAAGGAAGCAAGGAGACAAAGCAGGAAAGAGGGAGGUAGAGAAGGAAAGAAGGAGGUAAAGAAGCAAAGAUGGAUUUAGUGAAGGAAAGAGGGAGGUGGAGAAGGAAGCAAGGUGGGGAGGAAGGAGUAAGAGAAGGAAGCAAGGAGGUAGAGAAUGAAACAAGAAAGUAGAGAAGAAAACAAGGUGUCUGGGAAGUCAAGGAAACAAGGAGGUGGAAACGUAAAGGAAAGAAGGAGGUGGAAAAGGAUACAAGUAGGUAGAGAAGGAAACAAGGAUUUAGAGAAGGAGAGGAGGAGGAGGUGAAGAAGGAAGCAAGGAGGUGAAUGUGGAAAGAAGGAGGAAGAGAAGGAAACAAGAAAGUAGAGAAGAAAACAAGGAUUUAGAGAAGGAGAGGAGGAGGUGGAGAAGGAAGCAAGGAGACAAAGCAGGAAAGAGGGAUGUAGAGAAGGAAAGAAGGAGGUAAAGAAGCAGAGAAGGAUUUAGUGAAGGAAAGGGAGGUGGAGAAGGAAGCAAGGUAGAGAAGGAAGCAAGGAGGUAGAGAAUGAAACAAGAAAGUAGAGAAGAAAACAAGGUGUCUGGGAAGUCAAGGAAAGAAGGAGGUGGAAACGUAAAGGAAAGAAGGAGGUGGAAAAGAAUACAAGUAGGUAGAGAAGGAAACAAGGAUUUAGAGAAGGAGAGGAGGAGGUGAAGAAGGAAGCAAGGAGACAAAGAAGGAAAGAGGGAGGUGGAGAAGGAAGCAAGGAGGUGAAUGUGGAAAGAAGGAGGAAGUAAAGGAAACAAGAAAGUAGAGAAGAAAACAAGGAUUUAGAGAAGGCGAGGAAGAGGUGGAGAAGGAAGCAAGGAGACAAAGCAGGAAAGAGGGAUGUAGAGAAGGAAAGAAGGAUUUUAGUGAAGGAGAGGAGGAGGUGGAGAAGGAGGGAAGGAGUUAGUGAAGAAAAUGAAGAAGUAGAGAAUGUAAGAAGGAGGUAGAGAAGGAAGGAGCGAGGUGGAGAAGGUGCAAUGAUUUCAACAUGAAAACAAUAAUUUGUGUGUUUUCUAUAAUCAAUAUAUUGAUGUUUUCCCGUCUGCAGCUGGCGGCGAUGCUGUGACAUCACACGGCCGAGGCGUCCAAUGACAGCGCUGGGAUCAUGGAUGCGUGUGGGACACCACACAGGGCGGAACAAUGAGGACGAAGGACAGCCAUGACGGACGGGGACGGGGCGGGACGACGGAGCAGGGGGGGAGGAGAGGGGACAGGGGGCAGGCGGUGGCGAGACAGGCGGGGAUGGGUGAGACGGGGGGCGUGUCCCCGCUGCCUGUCUUCCUGUUCCCCUCUGAGCUGGUGUUCUACUGUGAACAGAGGAGCUCCCACAGGAGAGUGUUGACCCUGUACAACCCCUACAGCUUCAGCCUCAGCUUCAAGAUGUUGUGCACAGCUCCCUCUCUGUACAGGGUGGUGGAGGCGGAGGGGAGCGUCCGAGCUAAAUCCUGUGUGGACCUGGUGGUGCGUCACCUGGAUGUCUCCCCCGGCAACUGGGGCCGCAGGGACCGGUUCCGUCUGGAGGUGAGGGGAGGAGGUCAGGUGGGAGGACGGGAGAUCUGGGCCGAGCUGAGAGGAGGAGAGGAAAAGGGAGGAGGAGUAGAGGAAGAGGAAGAGAGGAGGAGGAGGAAACAACGAGGGGAGGAGAGGAGGACAGCAGGCCAGCAGAGGGCGCUGUCUGCUCUGUCUCCUCUGCUGGUGCCCACACACACACACCUGCAGCUGCCCACCUGCACAGGUGUGCGCAGUCUGUCUCAGUGGGUGGUGUGUGUGGUGGUGGGGGUGCUGUGUGUCGCAGUGUUGAUGCUCCCCCUCCACACUGAGAGCAGCUCCAUGGUUCCACUCUGCCUGCACGUCUCCACCAAUCUGAAGCUGGUCUGCGCCUACACACUGGGUCUUCUCACCAUGGUGUUUCUACGGUAACCGGUGACAUCGUGCUGCUGCCGCCUCCUCUUCUGUCUGAGUGAUGGCACCGUGGCAACCAAGGACCCUGAUGACCUUUGACCUCCAUGCUGUCCAUCAGAUACACACAGACUUUCUCCAUGAAGUCAACACACACACACACACACACACACACAUCUGAAUGAGUCAUCAGUGACUGUUCAACAGAGUCAGAUAGAACUUUAUUUAAAACAGGAAACACACACAGUCAACCUGCAGGUCGAGACCCUGACGACGUCUUCAGGCGGACGUCCUCAGGUGAUGGUCGUCUUCAGGUGGACGUCCUCAGGUGAUGGUCGUCCUCAGGUGGUCGUCCUCAGGUGAUGGUCGUCCUCCUCAGGUGGACGUCCUCAGGUGAUGGACGUCCUCAGGUGGACGUCCUCAGGUGAUGGUCGUCCUCAGGUGAUGGUCGUCCUCAGGUGAUGGACGUCUUCAGGAUCAGUCACAUGGAAAAAACACAUUUCUGACUUUAAUUUUAAUUGUUUUGCUUCGUUGUUGUAAAAAUACUUUUAUGUUUCCUGCUCAUUAAAUGUUUAUUGCUGAC